UAGUCCACGCCGUAAACGAUGGUCACUAGCUGUUUGGACUUCGGUCUGAGUGGCUAAGCGAAAGUGAUAAGUGACCCACCUGGGGAGUACGUUCGCAAGAAUGAAACUCAAAGGAAUUGACGGGGGCCCGCACAAGCGGUGGAGCGUGUGGUUUAAUUCGAUGAUACGCGAGGAACCUUACCAGGGCUUAAAUGUAAGUUGCAUUAGCUAGAGAUAGCUAUUUCUUCGGACUACUUACAAGGUGCUGCAUGGUUGUCGUCAGCUCGUGCCGUGAGGUGUCAGGUUAAGUCCUAUAACGAGCGCAACCCCUGUUGUUAGUUACCAUCGAGUAAUGUCGGGAACUCUAACAAGACUGCCGGUGCAAACCGCGAGGAAGGUGGGGAUGACGCCAAACCAUCACGGCCCUUACGUCCUGGGCUACACACGUGCUACAAUGGUAGGUACAGAGGGCAGCCACUGCGUGAGCAGGAGCGAAUCCUUAAAACCUAUCUCAGUUCGGAUCGGAGUCUGCAACUCG
This 517-nucleotide ribosomal RNA is filed under the name uncultured bacterium. RNAcentral describes it as "bacterial SSU rRNA". It matches the Rfam family "Bacterial small subunit ribosomal RNA", at positions 791 to 1314 of the family's 1533-position model. The record is from RNAcentral.